GGUUAAGCUACUAAGAGCACACGGAGGAUGCCUAGGCGCUAGGAGCCGAAGAAGGACGUGGCGAACAACGAUACUGCCUCGGGGAGCUGUAAGCAAGCUUCGAUCCGGGGAUGUCCGAAUGGGGAAACCCAGCUGAUGUAAUAGUCAGUUACCCGUAUCUGAAUACAUAGGAUGCGAGGAGGCAUACCCAGGGAACUGAAACAUCUAAGUACCUGGAGGAAGAGAAAACAAGAGUGAUUCCGUCAGUAGCGGCGAGCGAACGCGGAACAGCCUAAACCAGAGAGCUUGCUCUCUGGGGUUGUGGGACGUCUCACAUGGAGUUACAAAGGAAUUUAUUAGGCGAAGAGGUCUGGAAAGGCCCGCUAUAAGAGGUAAAAGCCCUGUAGCCGAAAGUAUAUUCCCUCCGAGACGGAUCCCGAGUAGUGCGGGGCACGUGAAACCCCGUAUGAAUCCAGCAGGACCAUCUGCUAAGGCUAAAUACUCCCUAGCGACCGAUAGUGAAGCAGUACCGUGAGGGAAAGGUGAAAAGCACCCCGGAAGGGGAGUGAAAUAGAACCUGAAACCGUGUGCUUACAAGAAGUCAGAGCCCGAUCUAUGGGUGAUGGCGUGCCUUUUGUAGAAUGAACCGGCGAGUUACGUUCCCAUGCAAGGUUAAGGCGAGAAGCCGUAGCCGCAGCGAAAGCGAGUCUGAAUAGGGCGAUUUAGUAUGUGGGCGUAGACCCGAAACCGUGUGAUCUACCCCUGUCCAGGGUGAAGGUGCGGUAACACGCACUGGAGGCCCGAACCCACGUAUGUUGAAAAAUGCGGGGAUGAGGUGGGGGUAGCGGAGAAAUUCCAAUCGAACUCGGAGAUAGCUGGUUCUCCCCGAAAUAGCUUUAGGGCUAGCCUCGGAAUGAAGAGUCGUGGAGGUAGAGCACUGAUUGGGUGCGGGGCCCGCAAGGGUUACCAAGCUCAGUCAAACUCCGAAUGCCAUAGACUUAUAUCCGGGAGUCAGACAGUGAGUGCUAAGAUCCAUUGUCAAAAGGGAAACAGCCCAGACCAUCAGCUAAGGUCCCCAAGUGUGUGUUAAGUGGGAAAGGAUGUGGAGUUGCACAGACAACCAGGAUGUUGGCUUAGAAGCAGCCACCAUUUAAAGAGUGCGUAAUAGCUCACUGGUCGAGUGACUCUGCGCCGAAAAUGUAACGGGGCUAAACACACCACCGAAGCUAUGGCUUGAUGCUUGCAUCAGGGGUAGGGGAGCGUUGUAUGUAGGUUGAAGGUGUACCGUAAGGAGCGCUGGACAGCAUACAAGUGAGAAUGCCGGUAUGAGUAACGAAAAGAUCAGUGAGAAUCUGAUCCGCCGAAAGCCCAAGGUUUCCUGAGGAAGGCUCGUCCGCUCAGGGUAAGUCGGGACCUAAGGUGAGGCCGAAAGGCGUAAUCGAAGGACAACAGGUUGAAAUUCCUGUACCACCGUAAACCGUUAUGAACGAUGGGGUGACGCAGGAGGGUAGUGACGCGGACUGAUGGAUGUCCGUCCAAGCAGUGAGGCUGAUGUGUAGGCAAAUCCGCACAUCAUUAAGGCUGGGCUGUGAUGGGGAGUGAAAAUUAUAGUAGCGAAGGUCAUGAUCUCACACUGCCAAGAAAAGCCUCUAGUCAGGUGAAGGUGCCCGUACCGCAAACCGACACAGGUAGGCGAGAAGAGAAUUCUAAGGCGCGCGGAAGAACUCUCGUUAAGGAACUCGGCAAAAUGACCCCGUAACUUCGGGAGAAGGGGUGCCUCGGUAGGGUGAAUAGCCCGAGGGGGCCGCAGUGAAAAGGCCCAAGCGACUGUUUAGCAAAAACACAGGUCUGUGCGAAGCCGUAAGGCGAAGUAUACGGGCUGACGCCUGCCCGGUGCUGGAAGGUUAAGGGGAGCGGUUAGGGGUUAAACCCGAAGCUGUGAACCGAAGCCCCAGUAAACGGCGGCCGUAACUAUAACGGUCCUAAGGUAGCGAAAUUCCUUGUCAGGUAAAUUCUGACCCGCACGAAUGGCGUAACGACUUGGGCGCUGUCUCAACGAGAGAUCCGGUGAAAUUUUAAUACCUGUGAAGAUGCAGGUUACCCGCGACAAGACGGAAAGACCCCAUGGAGCUUUACUGCAGCUUGAUAUUGGAUUUGGGUACGAUCUGUACAGGAUAGGUGGGAGCCUUUGAAGCAUGAGCGCCAGCUUGUGUGGAGGCGACGUUGGGAUACCACCCUGAUCGUAUCUAGGUUCUAACCUGGUACCGUAAUCCGGUACGGGGACAGUGUCAGGCGGGCAGUUUGACUGGGGCGGUCGCCUCCUAAAGAGUAACGGAGGCGCCCCAAGGUUCCCUCAGAAUGGUUGGAAAUCAUUCGAAGAGUGCAAAGGCAUAAGGGAGCUUGACUGCGAGACCUACAAGUCGAGCAGGGACGAAAGUCGGGCUUAGUGAUCCGGUGGUACCGCAUGGAAGGGCCAUCGCUCAACGGAUAAAAGCUACCCUGGGGAUAACAGGCUUAUCUCCCCCAAGAGUCCACAUCGACGGGGAGGUUUGGCACCUCGAUGUCGGCUCAUCGCAUCCUGGGGCUGAAGUAGGUCCCAAGGGUUGGGCUGUUCGCCCAUUAAAGCGGUACGCGAGCUGGGUUCAGAACGUCGUGAGACAGUUCGGUCCCUAUCUGUCGUGGGCGUAGGAAAUUUGAGAGGAGCUGUCCUUAGUACGAGAGGACCGGGAUGGACGUACCGCUGGUGCACCAGUUGUUCCGCCAGGAGCAUGGCUGGGUAGCUACGUACGGAAGGGAUAAGCGCUGAAAGCAUCUAAGCGUGAAGCCCCCCUCAAGAUGAGAUUUCCCAGUAUGUAAGACCCCUUGAAGACGACGAGGUAGAUAGGUUGGAGGUGGAAGUGCAGCAAUGCAUGGAGCUGACCAAUACUAAUCGGUCGAGGGCUUAUCCAA
RNAcentral lists this ribosomal RNA (2928 nucleotides) under Paenibacillus sp. JNUCC32. RNAcentral describes it as "23S ribosomal RNA". It matches the Rfam family "Bacterial large subunit ribosomal RNA". The record is from RNAcentral. Lineage: Bacteria; Bacillati; Bacillota; Bacilli; Caryophanales; Paenibacillaceae.